Molecule: ribosomal RNA, 460 nt
Filed under: uncultured bacterium
Lineage: Bacteria
Description: partial 16S ribosomal RNA
Rfam family: Bacterial small subunit ribosomal RNA
Source: RNAcentral
CCUACGGGAGGCUGCAGUGAGGAAUAUUGGUCAAUGGACGAGAGUCUGAACCAGCCAAGUAGCGUGAAGGAUGACUGCCCUAUGGGUUGUAAACUUCUUUUAUAUGGGAAUAAAAUGUUCCACGUGUGGGGUUUUGUAUGUACCUUAUGAAUAAGGAUCGGCUAACUCCGUGCCAGCAGCCGCGGUAAUACGGAGGGUCCGAGCGUUAUCCGGAUUUAUUGGGUUUAAAGGGAGCGUAGGUGGAUUGUUAAGUCAGUUGUGAAAGUUUGCGGCUCAACCGUAAAAUUGCAGUUGAAAAUGGCAGGCUUGAGUACAGUAGAGGUGGGCGGAAUUCGUGGUGUAGCGGUGAAAUGCUUAGAUAUCACGAAGAACUCCGAUUGCGAAGGCAGCUCACUGGACUGCCACUGACACUGAGGCUCGAAAGUGUGGGUAUCAAACAGGAUUAGAUACCCCUGUAGUC